CCAUCUGUACUGGGCUGUGGUCUCGACACCUCCUGGCAAUGUUCAACUUGUGGUGGACAAAUGGACAUCAGUUAUGGAUCACAUCCACAACAGGCAUACCGGGUUCGAGGGACUGUUCUCUUCUUGUGCACACGGAGUCUCGGAAGGCAGGGAACAGCGUAAACCAUGGCUGAAAUAUCAUACAAAGGUGUCUUUUGAGGUUGAGAAGAUCAUCCGGAACAAGAGGCUGUGUGCAGAUGUACAACGCCUGUCCCCGUCACACCAGACAUCCUACGUAGAAGCAUUCCAAAGCCUGAUUACACACUUUGCGCCUAAGAUGUGCCACUUUUCAUAGGGAUGGAGAGCAGGCUAUGCUGAAGAGCUGAUGCGGAUGUUGGAGGCCAUGUGUCGAGGUGAAUACUACAGCUGUGAUGACUUUGACAUUCCAGACCCAUCCCCUGUUCCAGAGCCACUGAGUGCAUCAUGUGAAAAGCCGGAUAAGAGGGCAGCAGUCAGUACACACACAACCCGCUUUAGCACCACAAACAACCCUUCAAUAUAGACAUUACCAAAAGUUUGAUGCAGGUAAUUCCAAAACCACAGUACAGGGUGUGUUGGAAGGACACUUUUUUUC
Molecule: long non-coding RNA, 613 nt
Organism: Engraulis encrasicolus (European anchovy)
Lineage: Eukaryota; Metazoa; Chordata; Actinopteri; Clupeiformes; Engraulidae
Exons: 3
Source: RefSeq, a predicted model, not a curated record